AAGGCACCUGAAGUUUCUCCUUCAAGGCCGGUAUGGGGUCCUAGAACCCGAGUUCCUCUGUGUAGUGUUUUGUUAGUCUUAUCUGUGGCGGGCAGAAAGACUAAAUUGACCUCCCCUUCGGCCCUCGCUUAGGAGAGGGCUGACUCUGGAUAUGGCUUUUCCUGAUUGGCUCCGCUGAUAGAGGCCGGAGCUCUGAUUGGAGGCUAAGUUUCCCUUCUCGCACCUCCUUUUCCACUACAGAUCCUGUGCCUUACUAGCGGAGGCCAGCGGGUGGAGCUAGACCUGGUUCCCCAGGGUUACCAUUAAUUGGGGGAAUGAGGCGGGGUGGAGAACAUACUCGAGUGGGCGGGGCCCUCUCCAAGUAGUAGAGGAAGCAGAUACCCAGAUAGGAAAUCUAGCAUAGCAACAAGUUAGAGAUGAUUGCUCAAGCCACGUGAGCUGUCACAGACUUGCAUCCUGGUAUCGUGUCUGUUGUCUCCGAAUCAGGUAUGCAUGUGGAGAGGGGUGUCAAAGAUUGAGGUCAGAUGCGAGGUCAAAAGUGUCCCCUGUUGAUCUUUUGAUCCAACUUGAAUUGCAGAAUUUCGCACUGGUUACCCAGCAGAGGAGGCGGCGCUCUCAGGAGCGCGCAGAUGCUCUGCUGAGAGAAUAGGCUCACAACAGCAUUGUAGACACAUUCCCGCUGCACUCUGGGUAAAUAAAGAUCGGGUGCCUGAGUCGACUCUAAUUUAGACGCCUGCGAACGCUGCGCACACGCACACGUGUCCGAGUCUCGCUGGCACUUGAUCCCCUCUUCCUUCGCCGCGUGCGCGGAGGAGGUCUUAGAGGCGUGGUUCCCAUACUCAGCCUGCUGGAGGUCAAAGCGGAACAUCAGUUAAGGAAGGCAUCCUCACAUUCUCCUCUUAGAACCACCUUUACUGCAUACUACCACUCCUCAAGCUAAUAGAAGCAACCCCACCAUCCACCCUUGCUCAGGGGGCGCUGGUGGGAGGGGCUGAGGAUGGGCGUGGCUUGGAGACCUAGCGUAUUAUCUCAGACUGUAUACCUAGGGUGGUGGGUGUUUGGGCAGGGCCUCUCAGCAUCCCUCCCCUUCUUCGCCAGAGAUGACGCGGGAGAGCGUGGUCGCCCCCAGAAGGCUUUAGACCAUCAGACCGACCUCUACGUAGACCCCUCCCCCAAGGGGGGACCGCUUUUGCCUGUCUAGCUCGCUUGCACUAAAGCCGGGAGCAGCCCAGUGCGCGCUCGCCUCCAGUCAGCUCGCCCCCGAUCACCGCCUCUGUCACCGCCCCCUCCUUGGAAACCAAGUUACCAACGUUUAAACCAAUCCCUGGGCGCAAUUCUGCCACCCCCACACUCCACCCGCUGCGCUGCGCGGUCCUCCCAGCCCAGCUCUCCAUCACUCGCGCUCCCCUCGCCUUCUGCGCUCUCCCCUCCCUGGCAGCGGCGGCAAUGCCGGGGCCUUCACCAGGGCUGCGCCGAACGCUCCUCGGCCUCUGGGCUGCCCUGGGCCUGGGGAUCCUAGGCAUCUCAGCGGUCGCGCUAGAACCUUUCUGGGCGGACCUUCAGCCCCGCGUGGCGCUCGUGGAGCGCGGGGGCUCGCUGUGGCUCAACUGCAGCACUAACUGUCCGAGGCCGGAGCGCGGUGGCCUGGAGACCUCGCUACGCCGAAACGGGACCCAGAGGGGUCUGCGCUGGCUGGCUCGACAGCUGGUGGACAUCCGAGAGCCUGAAACCCAGCCGGUCUGCUUCUUCCGCUGCGCGCGCCGCACACUCCAAGCGCGUGGGCUCAUCCGAACUUUCCAGCGACCGGAUCGGGUAGAGCUAGUGCCUCUGCCUCCUUGGCAGCCUGUAGGUGAGAACUUCACCUUGAGCUGCAGGGUCCCGGGGGCAGGACCCCGAGCGAGCCUCACAUUGACCUUGCUGCGAGGCGGCCAGGAGCUGAUUCGCCGAAGUUUCGUAGGCGAGCCACCCCGAGCUCGGGGUGCGAUGCUCACCGCCACGGUCCUGGCGCGCAGAGAGGAUCACAGGGCCAAUUUCUCAUGCCUCGCGGAGCUUGACCUGCGGCCACACGGCUUGGGACUGUUUGCAAACAGCUCAGCCCCCAGACAGCUCCGCACGUUUGCCAUGCCUCCACUUUCCCCGAGCCUUAUUGCCCCACGAUUCUUAGAAGUGGGCUCAGAAAGGCCGGUGACUUGCACUUUGGAUGGACUGUUUCCUGCCCCAGAAGCCGGGGUUUACCUCUCUCUGGGAGAUCAGAGGCUUCAUCCUAAUGUGACCCUCGACGGGGAGAGCCUUGUGGCCACUGCCACAGCUACAGCAAGUGAAGAACAGGAAGGCACCAAACAGCUGAUGUGCAUCGUGACCCUCGGGGGCGAAAGCAGGGAGACCCAGGAAAACCUGACUGUCUACAGCUUCCCGGCUCCUCUUCUGACUUUAAGUGAGCCAGAAGCCCCCGAGGGAAAGAUGGUGACCGUAAGCUGCUGGGCAGGGGCCCGAGCCCUUGUCACCUUGGAGGGAAUUCCAGCUGCGGUCCCUGGGCAGCCCGCUGAGCUCCAGUUAAAUGUCACAAAGAAUGACGACAAGCGGGGCUUCUUCUGCGACGCUGCCCUCGAUGUGGACGGGGAAACUCUGAGAAAGAACCAGAGCUCUGAGCUUCGUGUUCUGUACGCACCUCGGCUGGAUGACUUGGACUGUCCCAGGAGCUGGACGUGGCCAGAGGGUCCAGAGCAGACCCUCCACUGCGAGGCCCGUGGAAACCCUGAGCCCUCCGUGCACUGUGCAAGGCCUGACGGUGGGGCGGUGCUAGCGCUGGGCCUGUUGGGUCCAGUGACCCGUGCCCUCGCGGGCACUUACCGAUGUACAGCAAUCAAUGGGCAAGGCCAGGCGGUCAAGGAUGUGACCCUGACUGUGGAAUAUGCCCCAGCGCUGGACAGUGUAGGCUGCCCAGAACGUAUUACUUGGCUGGAGGGGACAGAGGCAUCGCUUAGCUGUGUGGCACACGGGGUCCCACCACCUAGCGUGAGCUGUGUGCGCUCUGGAAAGGAGGAAGUCAUGGAAGGGCCCCUGCGUGUGGCCCGGGAGCACGCUGGCACUUACCGAUGCGAAGCCAUCAACGCCAGGGGAUCAGCGGCCAAAAAUGUGGCUGUCACGGUGGAAUAUGGUCCCAGUUUUGAGGAGUUGGGCUGCCCCAGCAACUGGACUUGGGUAGAAGGAUCUGGAAAACUGUUUUCCUGUGAAGUUGAUGGGAAGCCGGAACCACGCGUGGAGUGCGUGGGCUCGGAGGGUGCAAGCGAAGGGGUAGUGUUGCCCCUGGUGUCCUCGAACUCUGGUUCCAGAAACUCUAUGACUCCUGGUAACCUGUCACCGGGUAUUUACCUCUGCAACGCCACCAACCGGCAUGGCUCCACAGUCAAAACAGUCGUCGUGAGCGCGGAAUCACCGCCACAGAUGGAUGAAUCCAGUUGCCCGAGUCACCAGACAUGGCUGGAAGGAGCCGAGGCUACUGCGCUGGCCUGCAGUGCCAGAGGCCGCCCCUCUCCACGCGUGCGCUGUUCCAGGGAAGGUGCAGCCAGGCUGGAGAGGCUACAGGUGUCCCGAGAGGAUGCGGGGACCUACCUGUGUGUGGCUACCAACGCGCAUGGCACGGAUUCACGGACCGUCACUGUGGGUGUGGAAUGUGAGUGAGGACAGCGCUGAAUGAAGACGACUCAGACCGCCAGAAAAGUGCCUUGAGGCCUGGGAUGUAUGAUCCAACCGGCCUGUGGUGGCUGAGCUGGCAGCCUCGCCCCCAAGCGUGCGGCCUGGCGGAAACUUCACUCUGACCUGCCGUGCAGAGGCCUGGCCUCCAGCCCAGAUCAGCUGGCGCGCGCCCCCGGGAGCUCUCAACCUCGG
Non-coding RNA from Rattus norvegicus (Norway rat), 3888 nucleotides. The record is from RefSeq and is a predicted model, not a curated record. Lineage: Eukaryota; Metazoa; Chordata; Mammalia; Rodentia; Muridae.